AAGAGCGGUGGACUCGUAAUCUGGUGAACCGGGUUUGCUUCCCCGCUCCUCAACAUGCAGCUGCUGGGUGACCUUGGGCUAGUCACACUUCUCUGAAGUCUCUCAGCCUCACUCACCUCACAGAGUGUUUGUUGUGGGGGAGGAAGGGAAAAGGAGAUUGUGAGCCGCUUUGAGACUCAGUGAUAAAGCGGGACAUCAAAUCCAAACUCCUCCUCCUUCUAAGUUGUCUUCGGUGUCAUUCCUGGGGGACUCUAGGGUAGACAGCGCUUGCCACUCUUCCUUAUCCAGUCAGUCCCUGACAUCAUGUCCAGUUAUUGAUAGGUUUGUGAGCUCAUCCACCUGUCAAAGCUGAUCCCCAGGGGUAGGUUUGCUUUCACAGCAUGUUUCCCAUAGGGGAUGCGCUGGCAAAAGUAGCACCAGCAGUAUUAAACCUUCCUCUCACCAGCUACUGAGUGAAAGGUUCAGUCCUCCUGGCUGGUCUGCUUCCCCAGCAGGACUGAACCCUCCACUCGGCAGCUGAUGAGAAUCAAGCUAAAUAACUAACACAUUGUGCUAUUAAUCUAGUUCAAUGCCAGAUGUGAUUGGGAUUUCCAUUCCCAUACAUGGUAUGGGAUUUACCGUAUUUAUUUGAAUACAUGGACACAUACAUAGGAUUAAACUGAAAAUAGAUAUAGACAGUGGUACCGCGGGUCAGGUGAGAUGUUGCAUUAAAAGCACCACCUAAUUACAGUGGUACCUCGGGUUAAGUACUUAGUUCGUUCCGGAGGUCCGUACUUAACCUGAAACUGUUCUUAACCUGAAGCACCACUUUAGCUAAUGGGGCCUCCUGCUGCUGCCGCACCACUAGAGCACGAUUUCUGUUCUCAUCCUGAAGUAAAGUUCUUAACCUGAAGCACUAUUUCUGGGUUAGCAGAGUCUGUAACCUGAAGCAUAUGUAACCUGAAGCAUAUGUAACCCGAGGUACCACUGUAUGUGACAUAAAAAGUCAUCCUCAGUCUUUGCCCCUUCUUACUGAAAAACAAACCAUUUUUAUACUGUUUAUCUUCACCAAUAAAUAUACAAUCAUAUGAACCUACUGAAGGCAAAAAGGUUGCAACUUUUUUAAAAAAAAGUUUUUUUGAUAUUUAUUCAAGGAGAAGCUGCAUUUAAGGUAAGAUGAACAUAUUCUUGAGAACAUGGAGUCACAUGAUACUCCAUGUCAAUCCUUCUGUGCUGUUUCUCUGCAUUACACCAUUUUAGAGUACAUUCAUUUAGCUCUUGUUAAGAAAUUAGGUGCAUUAACAUCUGGCGCGGUGGGUCUAAAGCUCCUUUCUACCUUAUUUCCCUGAUAGUACCAUAUACUUCUACACUCACUGUUGGUUUUUCUUGAGUUUUGGGUGUUCUUUCAAUGAGAGAGAGCAGAGUUUUCAUUAUUUCCAAAUUAUGGAACUUUUUACAAUCCUGUAAAGUAUUUAAUACUGCUAAACAGUAAUGUGGAAUUAAUUUGUCUGGGGGGUUCUGUCCAUUUUUUUCCAGGGAUUUCUUUCCCUCAUAAAACCAUUCAGUUCAGUUCACCGCAGCAGAAGUUGGUUGUCGGGUUUUCUGACAAGACCUGCUUCCAAAGCAUACACACGGUUUCUGUGCUUGCAGACAGUGUCUGGGGCACACCUGGGUCACCGCAGUUCAGGUGGUGUUGCCAUGGGAGACUGUAACUCUUUCCUGAAACGUGUGUUUUUCGAGAAUCUCAGGGGAGGUCUUUUUCACCUGUCUUAACUUCUCUGCACAUAACAGCCUUGGUUAUUUAAAUUUGGCAUGCUGUUCUCCUUUGUGCAAUAGAUAGAUUUAUCGCUUGGUUAUCCCAGCCUUCUGCUAAAGGAGCUCAGGGCCCUGUAUCUGAAGGUAGGUGAUUAUUCUCCUAAUAAUCUUGUGAGGACAUUUCAUGUUUAGUUAAAACGACUUUGUCAAAACCAUUCUAUGAUGUGGAGAUUUGAGCCCAGGUUUCCCACAACCAAGUCCAACCAUUAUUGUACUAUACUACACUGACUUCGUUGACUGCAAUAGUAGCCAGGGGGAACUAGCCAGGCAUAAUAAAUUUAGAAUAGCAGAGCGAUGGGAGUCCACGAACUGAAGUGAACCCAAGGCGAGUUAAACCGUGGAGUGAAUUUGACAGCAGGGUGAGGCCAGGGCGCGCUACUCUGCCCCUCCUCUCCUUGAUCUAAACAAAACCUCAGCUUCUAAUAACUUAUGCAUUUGGAAAGCCAACAAGGCGUAUACGGUUUCCCCAGUGUUUUGCACUGUCUGCCAUAUGAACAACUGCCUGCCUGUUGGACAAAAGCUGUGAGGGUGUCCUCGGUGCGCCGAACUCCUUGCUCUCUGGAAACAAGUUUGUUCCCUUGAGGCCACAGUGGCUGGCCUAGAAAGGAUCUCAAGGAAGGAAGGUUUCACUCUGAGGAAGAGAGAAACAAUCCCUUAGAAGGGACCCCUUCCUUGGAGCAUGGGCAGCUGUCCUUUCAUGCCAACGGUGCUUCUCUGGAAGGCUGGGAGGAAGAGGGAUCCUGGUGGUGGCUGAUUCAAUCAUUAGGAACAUAGAAAAUUGGUGUGUGGUUGGCCUAUGGACUACAGGGUGAGUUGCCUGCCUGGAACCUGCAGCAAAAUGUUGUGGUGUGGAAUACUCUUGUUUGGUGUUACAGUCAGCCUUCUUUUGAUAUGCCGCUCCAUCCCACCACCUCUCACCUGGUUUUCAAUCCCGUCUCCCGCCAACAGCCAGCCUGCAUCACAUUGCCAUGGAACUUUAUCAGUCCUCAAAGAGCUGCUUUGGCAGGUUCCUUCUCCCUUUCAAGGUUUUCCCUAAAUAUUUUUGUAUUUCCCCAGUGCCACCGCCACUCCUACUGAUACCUUGUGUGCUUUUGUUGUUUAGUCGUUUAGUCGUGUCCGACUCUUCAUGAUCCCAUGGACCAGAACACGCCAGGCACUUCUGUCUCCCACUGCCUCCCGCAGUUUGGUCAGACUCGUGUUUGUAGCUUUGAGAACACUGGCCAACCAUCUCGUCCUCUGUCGUCCCCUUCUCCUUGUGCCCUCCAUCUUUCCCAACAUCAGGAUCUUUUCCAGGGAGUCUUCUCUUCUCAUGAGGUGGCCAAAUUAUUGGAGUCUCAGCUUCAGGAUCUGUCCUUCCAGUGAGCACUCAGGGCUGAUUUCCGUAAGAAUGGAGAGGUUUGAUCUUCUUGCAGUCCAUGGGACUCUCAAGAGUCUCCUCCAGCACCAUAAUUCAAAAGCAUCAGUUCUUCGGCGUUCAGCCUUCUUUAUGGUCCAGCUCUCACUUCCAUACAUCACCACUGGGAAAACCAUAGCUUUAACUAUACGGACCUUUGUUGGCAAGGUGAUGUCUGCUUUUUAGGAUGCUGUUGGUGCCAUUUUUGGUUAUGUAAGAAUCCACUCUGAACUUCAGGAAUAUAAUUAUAUAUGCACAUUCUAAUCUCCCUUUGCCACUUACUCAUCCCCCCGCCUCAUGCUGUGUCAAUACUGCAGUUCUUUGCAGAAACGUGUCCUUUUAAAUUCUUUUUUCUCUCUGUACUAUGCAGCAAUAGGCAUUGGAAGAAGGGGCGCAUGGGAAAGCUGAAAGAGGUUUCUCUGCUGUGGGCCCCAGCAAAAAAAAGCUUGGAUGUAGGUGCUGAGGAAGGAGAGCAUACAUUUGUGAAUUCUUCAAUAGUCCUCCAUAAGUCAAAUAGCUUCCAGUUUCAUUACUACACUGAUUCCUUCGGAAAACAUCUGGAGUUUUAAUGCUUUUUUCCCUAUCGCUGUUAAAUAUUUUUGUUUUGUUUUGUUUUCCUACCCACCCCUUGCUGUUUGGAAGAAUUCAUACAAAGUCAGUCAGCUUUGAGGGAAAGGAACCAUGAGGUCUGUCAAAUGAAUAAGAGGAAAAUCUUGCAUGUUGGAGCACAGGAGGAAAUAAUGUAGACGGUUACAUAACAUAACCAGAUAUUUUAGCUCUUGGGUAGGAAAAGAGCUGGGUGGGUGCAGUUUCUUCACCCAUUGCAUAACACCAGAAGGGGGUGCCUGGUUAGAUUAAUGAAUAGCAAAUGCUUGAAGCAGGCAUUCUGUACACCACAGGCUAAUAAUGCAAUAACAAAGCAGUUGAGCCCUAAAUGAAUGCUUAGCUGUUGGCCAAUUGAUGAAUUAAGUCAUGUUGAUGUACCUUUUUUGAUGCCAGCUCAAAGCUCUCUGCACAAUAGGAGAGAUUAAUGUUUAUAGCUGAAGCUUUACGCCUCGGGUUGGGGGAUCAACAACACUAUUUGUGAAUAAAUAUAGUCAUUACUGGGUUAGUUAUGGAUGUCUGGUACCCAUUACAUGGGAACAAAACAAGCUUGCGACUAUGGUAUCCAGUAAACAUUUCCUAAACAAUGCCGUACUUAAAUCAAGUUCUUGUGCUGUUCUUUGUCCAUCUACCCUGAAGUGUACAAGAACUGUCACAAUAAAAUAGUUUCCUGGCUACUAAUUCAGAACCUGGAGAAGCCACUCCUUACAUCCCUGCAUGCCAGUAGAUUCCCGUCAGCUUGCUGGAGUGGAAACAGACAAUAGUUUUGAAGAGAGUAGAUGGUUUGAGAGAGGCUUAGCUUCCCUUCAUGUAUAUGCACAUUUCUUUGUCCCCUUCCGCCAACCAGGUUUUUGAAGCAAGGCAAGACCCUGAACGAUCUGUAAGCAGGCUUAAUUGUGUGAGAUAAGCUUUUUCAUACAUGACUUUUUUUACAGUGUACAACUGGAAAACGUAAAGUUGAGCAGUGUACAACUGGAAAAAGUAAAGUUGAGUAAAGUUUGGGAAUGUGCUUACUGUACAAAUACACCCAUCAGAGAGUGGAGAUUGGCUGCAGCUCCCUGCAAAGUGUGCAUUCGGAACCAAAUCCAGGUUUCAUCUCAAAUAGUUUAGAAAAUGCCCCCUAUUCAUAUUCACCAGCUUUCAAAAACAAACUACAAAAUGACUCUUGCGCCUUUGCAGUUGAAGUUGAGAUAUCAUAAAACACAGUUUUCCUCUUCUCUCAAUCAUCCUAAGGCACCCACAUCUAAUUUUUUGAUAUCAUAGUG
This 5055-nucleotide long non-coding RNA is filed under the name Podarcis lilfordi (Lilford's wall lizard). Lineage: Eukaryota; Metazoa; Chordata; Lepidosauria; Squamata; Lacertidae. The record is from RNAcentral.